UACAGAGGGGGCAAGCGUUAUUCGGAAUUAUUGGGCGUAAAGGGCGCGUAGGCGGCGAUUCAAGUGACGGGUGAAAUCCCUCGGCUUAACCGAGGAACUGCCUGUCAGACUGGAUUGCUUGAGUCCGGGAGAGGCGAGUGGAAUUCCCAGCGUAGCGGUGAAAUGCGUAGAUAUUGGGAGGAACACCAGUGGCGAAGGCGGCUCGCUGGACCGGAACUGACGCUGAUGCGCGAAAGCGUGGGGAGCAAACGGG
RNAcentral lists this ribosomal RNA (253 nucleotides) under uncultured bacterium. Its description in RNAcentral is "partial 16S ribosomal RNA". It matches the Rfam family "Bacterial small subunit ribosomal RNA", at positions 524 to 776 of the family's 1533-position model. The record is from RNAcentral.